This 88-nucleotide transfer RNA is filed under the name Acidimicrobiales bacterium. RNAcentral's name for it is "tRNA-Leu". It matches the Rfam family "tRNA". From Rfam's summary of the family: Transfer RNA (tRNA) molecules are approximately 80 nucleotides in length. Their secondary structure includes four short double-helical elements and three loops (D, anti-codon, and T loops). The record is from RNAcentral. Lineage: Bacteria; Bacillati; Actinomycetota; Acidimicrobiia; Acidimicrobiales.
GCCCGGGUGGUGGAAUGGCAGACACGGCCGUCUUAAAAAUGGCUGCUCCGGAAGGGGCGUACGGGUUCGAAUCCCGUCCUGGGCACAA